CCUACGGGUGGCAGCAGUGGGGAAUAUUGGACAAUGGGGGGAACCCUGAUCCAGCGACGCCGCGUGAGUGAAGAAGUAUUUCGGUAUGUAAAGCUCUAUCAGCAGGGAAGAAAGGAAUGACGGUACCUGACUAAGAAGCCCCGGCUAACUACGUGCCAGCAGCCGCGGUAAUCCGGAGGGGGCACGCGUUAUCCGGAUUUACGGGGUGUAAAGGGAGCGUAGACGGUUACGCAAGUCUGGAGUGAAAGGCGGGGGCGCAAACCGCGGACUGCUUUGGAAACUGGAUAACUGGAGUGCAGGAGAGGUAAGUGGAAUUCCUAGUGUAGCGGUGAAAUGCGUAGAUAUUAGGAGGAACACCAGUGGCGAAGGCGGCUUACUGGACUGUAACUGACGUUGAGGCUCGAAAGCGUGGGGAGCAAACAGGAUUAGAUACCCCAGUAGUC
Molecule: ribosomal RNA, 443 nt
Filed under: uncultured bacterium
Lineage: Bacteria
Description: partial 16S ribosomal RNA
Rfam family: Bacterial small subunit ribosomal RNA
Source: RNAcentral